CAGCGCCUAGCAGGAGGGGGUGGCCUGCCACUCAGACGCCCUUAAUGUAAGCCACGUAAGCCCUGUAUGCAGUACUCCCUGCCCUUGUCCCCACAGUGCUUUGCUCUAAAUUAUCAAGCUCUGACAAGACAUUGGUGUGAUGCAAAUCUUAGAUGAGGUUGCAGUUCCUGCUAUUGAAUUUGUAGUGAAACCUAAGUUUUGAAAAAUAUGACAACUUAAUAGACUAGCAAAUUUAAUAAUAGCAAAAACUCAAAGUGGCAGGGAUGCUGUAUUCUGUUACUAUCAUGAGGAAGCAAAACAUGGUGAGAUUUGCUUAUUUCAUUUCCUCUUACACACCUGUAAUUACUCUGUAGUGUGACUUUCAUGAUAAUUUUGCAUUUUUUGAUGUCCGGCAUCUGAAAGAAGGUAAUGAGUGAUGUUUCCGAAUUUAUUGGUGAUGUUAUCACACUGGAGCAUUCGUUUUUACAUGAACACAAAUCUCACAAGGUCAUUAUGUUUCCUCUUCAACAGGGGGCAGCUUAGAAUCUUAACAGCUGAGGGCUUAAGGCCAGCAUUCUUUAAGUACAGAGAAAGUUCUAGAAAUAAAGAUGAAUAGUAACGUCAGCAGAUAACAUUAAAGCAGUGGGUGUGCUCAGAGGACUUGCAGUAGGUGCUGUGGACAGAGCCAGUUCCAGACACAUGAAUAGCCUGAUGAACUAUGAGAGAAAACACAAGAAAGUGGAUUCCCCAUGUGCCAAAACGGAGCAAAAAUGGUUAGCGGUUGCUGAGGUGGUGGACAUAGGGCGAGACGCAGUACAUCAGGAUGCCCGCCCUUCUGCCGUGGCUGCCAGUGUGAGGGAAACAGGUCCCCACAUCCGUUACCAACUUUCUCGGAGGGUUUUCUUCUGGAGCUACUAGCACAGUUACUGUUGUUUCUCUGUGAAGCUGCUAGCUCUGGGACUUCUGGCAUUCACUUACCCACCAUGGGAGAGUCUGCCUGGAACAAAGAGAGGACUAUUGUUCUGAGGCAUCAUUGACAUCCCUGAAGCCACAUGAACCCCAGGAACUGCCCAUUCAUCCGAGUCAAUAAAUCCUUUUGUUCCUAAGCUGGUUCAAGUUGGGUUUGGUUAUAGACCACAUCAACCACCACUUGCC
Molecule: long non-coding RNA, 1134 nt
Filed under: Marmota monax (woodchuck)
Lineage: Eukaryota; Metazoa; Chordata; Mammalia; Rodentia; Sciuridae
Source: RNAcentral